ACAAUACAUGCAAGUCGUGCGAGGCUCUUUCGGAGUCGAGCGGCGGACGGGUGAGUAACACGUGGGGCAAUCUGCCCGACAGACCGGGAUAACGCUUGGAAACGAGUGCUAAUACCGGAUAGGCUCUUGCUUCGCAUGAAGCGAGAGGGAAAGCUGCUUUUGCAGCACUGUCGGAUGAGCCCGCGGCGCAUUAGCUAGUUGGUGAGGUAACGGCUCACCAAGGCGACGAUGCGUAGCCGANCUGAGAGGGUGACCGGCCACACUGGGACUGAGACACGGCCCAGACUCCUACGGGAGGCAGCAGUAGGGAAUCUUCCGCAAUGGGCGCAAGCCUUGACGGAGCAACGCCGCGUGAGUGAUGAAGGCCUUCGGGUUGUUAAAACUCUGUCUUCUGUGAAGAACAAGCCUAUGAAGAGAACGCUUUAGCCCCUGACCGUAACAGAGGAGGAAAGCCCCGGUCUAAACUACGUGCCAGCACCCGCGGUUAUUACGUAGGGGGCAAAGCGUUUGUCCGGAAUCAUUUGGCCGUAAAGCCGCGCCGCAGAGGUGCCCAUUUUGCCUUCCGGGGGGAAAAGCCCCCAAAGCUCCAACUUCUGGGAAUUUGCCUUUGGAAUACGGGAAUGGCUUGCAGGUAUCUGGAAGGAAGCAAGGGGAAUUCCACCGUUGUUAGGCGGGUGGAAAAUGCCGUAGAUGUUGGAAGUGAAACCACCCUUUUGGUCGAAGGCCCCUUGCUGGCCGAAUUUCUGACCCUUAGGCCGCUAAAACCUUGGGUGGAAGCCACAAACGGAUUAGAUACCCGGAGUUCCCCCGUUAAAACGAAAGUCUUAGGUGUGGGGGGUACCACCCCUCCAGGUCCGGAAACCUACGCAUAAGCAAUCCGCCCUGGGGAGUACGGCCGCAAGACUGAAAACCAAAGGAAUUCGUCGGGGGCCCGCACAAGCAUGGAGCAUGUGGUUUAAUUCGAAGCAACGCGAAGAACCCUUGCCAGGACUUGACAUCCCGCUGACCGGUUCAGAGAUGAACCUUCCCUUCGGGGCAGCGGUGACAGGUGGUGCAUGGUUGUCGUCAGUUCGUGUCGUGAGAUGUUGGGUUAAGUCCCGCAACGAGCGCAACCCUUGGAUUGUGUUGCCAUCAUUCAGUUGGGCACUUACAAUCGACUGCCGGUGACAAACCGGAGGAAGGCGGGGAUGACGUCAAAUCAUCAUGCCCCUUAUGUCCUGGGCUACACACGUGCUACAAUGGGCGGUACAAAGGGUUGCGAAGCCGCGAGGCGGAGCCAAUCCCAGAAAGCCGUUCGUAGUUCGGAUUGCAGGCUGCAACUCGCCUGCAUGAAGCCGGAAUUGCUAGUAAUCGCGGAUCAGCAUGCCGCGUUGAAUUCGUUCCCGGGCCUUGUACACACCGCCCGUCACACCAUGGGAGUUGGCAACACUCGAAGUCGGCGAGG
RNAcentral lists this ribosomal RNA (1444 nucleotides) under Eubacterium sp. 23-6. RNAcentral describes it as "bacterial SSU rRNA". It matches the Rfam family "Bacterial small subunit ribosomal RNA". Lineage: Bacteria; Bacillati; Bacillota; Clostridia; Eubacteriales; Eubacteriaceae. The record is from RNAcentral.